GUGGGUGUGACUGGUGACAGAGUGAGGGAGUGGGUGACUAGUGACAGAGGGAGGGAGAUAGGGGUGACUAGUGACAGAGUGAGGGAAUGGGUGACUAGUGGCAGAGUGAGGGAGGGAAGAGAUGACUAGUGGCAAAGUGAGGGAGGGAAGGGGUGACUAGUGACAGAGUGAGGGGAUGACUGGUGACAGAGUGAGGGGGGUGACUGUCACUAGUCACCCCAUCCCUCUCUCUGUCACUAGUCACUCCCUCCCUAACUCUGUCACUGUGUCACCCGCUCCCUCACUCUGUCACUGUGUCACCCGCUCCCUCUCUCUGUCACUAGUCACCCCAUCCCUCUCUCUGUCACUAGUCACCCCAUCCCUCUCUCUGUCACUAGUCACCCCAUCCCUCUCUCUGUCACUGUGAAGG
This is a non-coding RNA of Pelobates cultripes (western spadefoot toad), 409 nucleotides long. The record is from the annotation of a GenBank genome assembly. NCBI's taxonomy places the organism in Eukaryota, Metazoa, Chordata, Amphibia, Anura, Pelobatidae.